GGUGCAAUGAUGAGAUAAAACACUUCGGUGUUCAGGGCAGUGGACAAGAUCCAAUUUCAAUUGGUUUUUGCCGUGAGCCUUUUAAUUAACGACUUCUCCUUCCACUGAGCUAA
Molecule: small nucleolar RNA, 113 nt
Organism: Amaranthus tricolor (Joseph's coat)
Lineage: Eukaryota; Viridiplantae; Streptophyta; Magnoliopsida; Caryophyllales; Amaranthaceae
Product: small nucleolar RNA Z152/R70/R12
Exons: 1
Source: RefSeq, a predicted model, not a curated record